RNAcentral lists this RNase P RNA (334 nucleotides) under Williamsoniiplasma luminosum. RNAcentral describes it as "Entomoplasma luminosum Bacterial RNase P class B". It matches the Rfam family "Bacterial RNase P class B". From Rfam's summary of the family: Ribonuclease P (RNase P) is a ubiquitous endoribonuclease, found in archaea, bacteria and eukarya as well as chloroplasts and mitochondria. Its best characterised activity is the generation of mature 5'-ends of tRNAs by cleaving the 5'-leader elements of precursor-tRNAs. Lineage: Bacteria; Bacillati; Mycoplasmatota; Mollicutes; Entomoplasmatales. The record is from Rfam by way of RNAcentral.
AUUUUGAUAGUCAAUCGCUGUAUCUGAAAAAAGAUAUAGAGGAAACUCCACGCUUGCACAAUCUGCGAUGAUUGUAGUGUUUGUGCUAAACGAAAAAAUAAGUUUAGGCAUUAUUUAUGAUGACGGCAAAACUAACCUAAGGGAAACUAUGGAAUGGUUUGAGGUGCCACAGAGACGAGUAAAGGGAAACCUGGAAAUGGAACGCGGUAAACCCCACAAGCAAGAAACUCAAAUUUUGGUAGAGGAACUUAACAACAAGAAUUGAAUUGAAGUUAGGAUCGAAAGAUAGAUAGAUGAUUGACACAGGAAACUGAACAGAACGUGGGUUAUGCAA